UACUUUGUCUUAGGUUGAAGUUGAGUAAAUGUUGUGUGUUCUGUGGCAAUGUUGUUGCUGCAGAAUAACCAAAAUUUAUCAGUGUCAUGAAUCCUCUAGCAUUUUCUUACCAGUACAAUUUUCUUCUUCUUUCUGCUGUACAAAUGUUGUUUUCUUAUUUACUUCAUUCAGACAAUAACUAGUUUCAUACUUUCAUUUGAUUAUUCUGUAUUUCUAUUACUGACAUGGGAGCAAUCCCUUGUGUCUUCAGCAAGCAGCGCUUGUACUAAAUGCUUCCCGUCGAUUUCGUUAUACCUUGGAUUUGAAGAAAGAAGAAGAGAAGAAACUAAUACUGAGAAAGAUUAGAGUGCAUGCACAAGCCAUUAGAGCAGCAUAUCUUUUCAAAGCAGCUGGGGGGCAGGGGCAGAGGCAGGGACAAGGGCAAGGACAAUUGAAUGAAACUACAAAACCUCUUCAAACCUCUACUGGUGAAUUUCCAAUUGGACCGGAGCAACUAGCUUCCAUUUCAAGGGAGCACGAUAUUGCCUCAUUGCAGCAAUAUGGAGGGGUUGCAGGGGUAUCAAAUUUAUUGAAAACUGAUUUAGAGAAGGGAGUUGAUGGUGAUGAUGCUGACUUACUAAGACGGAGGAAUGCAUUUAGUUCCAACAAUUACCCUCGAAAGAAAGGAAGAAGUUUUCUG
Molecule: long non-coding RNA, 679 nt
Organism: Lathyrus oleraceus (garden pea)
Lineage: Eukaryota; Viridiplantae; Streptophyta; Magnoliopsida; Fabales; Fabaceae
Exons: 4
Source: RefSeq, a predicted model, not a curated record